AUGGCAGGAGAGAGAGGAGCUGCUCCUAGUACAGGACGCCAUGGAAGGUGCUGCUCUGAUGAGGAGAAACUGCUGCUGCAGGACGCCCUCCUCCCCUCCUCCUACCCCCACACGUGUUACUCGCACAACCCACUUCGCAUUUCAGACGAUUGGAGGAGAAGACGAGGGGAGAAGGCGACGACGCAGGCGGAAGAGUCAAUGGCGUUCGCGGCUGUCGGUGGUUUUCGCCGGACCGGAGCGGCUUCGCCGGAGCGCCUACAGAUUGAAGAAUGGCUCGCAGCGAUCAUCAAAACGAUGAUGAUGAUUUCAUGGAUUCACCACAGCAGAAUCAGGCAACUGGACGGAGAAAAGAGGGCGACGAGAAAAAGAAACGUACUCGCAACAGGGCCUCCUAGGAACGACUGA
This 405-nucleotide ribosomal RNA is filed under the name Triticum aestivum (bread wheat). RNAcentral's name for it is "partial small subunit ribosomal RNA". The record is from RNAcentral. Lineage: Eukaryota; Viridiplantae; Streptophyta; Magnoliopsida; Poales; Poaceae.